Molecule: ribosomal RNA, 1353 nt
Filed under: Triticum aestivum (bread wheat)
Lineage: Eukaryota; Viridiplantae; Streptophyta; Magnoliopsida; Poales; Poaceae
Description: partial small subunit ribosomal RNA
Source: RNAcentral
AUGAGAACAGAACAAUCAAUCCUUGUAGCCUUUCAUAAACAGAGUGAACUUGAGAAAAAUGAGCAUCUUAUCCGAUUAAAUGCUGCAAUUGAUGUAUGCAGAUACUUGUUGCAUCAAGGACAACCGUUUCGGGGCCAUGAUGAGUCAAAAGAGUCUACAAAUAAAGGAAACUAUCGGGAGUUAAUGGACUAUACAAUUAUGCACAAUGAUGUUAUAGCCAAAGCAUUCAAAAAUGCCCCAGUUCAUAAUCAGUUGUUGUCUUCAACAAUUCAAAAGGAUAUCAUCGAGUGCUUUGCAGAAGAAGUAUUGAAUUGUAUUUUGAAGGAGCUUGACAAUGGUGUGUUCAGCUUAUUAGUUGAUGAAUGUCGCGAUGUUUCCGACAAAGAGAAAAUGGCAGUGGUUAUACGUUAUGUUGAUACACAUGGACUGUCAAAUGAGAGGUUUGUUGGUGUUCUUCAUGUGGAGGAAACAACAUCUAUUUAUCUCAAGUCUAAAAUUGAUUUUAUAAUUGCAAAACUUGGUUUGAGUCUACAACAAGUGAGAGGACAAGGUUAUGAUGGAGCAAGCAAUAUGGCAGGUGAGUUUAAUGGUUUGCAAGCCAAGAUUAUGAGGGAGAACAGUUCAGCUUAUUUUGUACAUUGUUUUGCUCAUAAACUUAACUUGGUUGUUGUGGCCAUUGCAAAAAAGAUAUUUGAUGUUGGAGAUUUUUUUGAUAUGAUAUCAUUGUUGGUGACUGUUGUUGGAUCAUCUUGCAAGAGAAAGGAUAAACUUAGAGAGAACCAUCGAGAAGAAGUAAGGAAAGCGAUUGGUAAGGGAGAGAUUGCUACAGGAUCAGGAUUAAACCAGGAGCUUUCUCUUCAGAGACCAGGUGAUACUAGAUGGAAUUCUCAUUAUACCACUUUGUUGAGUUUGUCUAAGAUGUUUCCCUCUGUGAUAAAAGUACUAGAAUAUGUGGAGGAAGAGGGUUCAGAUGCUACUAAGCAACGUCAAACCAGUGGUCUUUUAAAAUAUUUCCAGUCAUUUGAUUCUGCAUUCUUCCUACAUAUGAUGAUGAUUAUAUUUGCUUUAACAAAUGGGCUAUCAAAAACCUUUCAAAGAAAGGAUAUGGACAUUGUUAAUGCUAUAUCAGAUGUGGCAUCAGCUAAGCGAGAGCUAGAUAAGCUUAGAUCUGAGCAUGGAUGGAAUUCUCUCUUGAGCAAGGUAUGUUCUUUUUGCAACAAGAAUGAUAUUUCUGUUAUGGACAUGGAAAAGGAGUAUGUAAAUCCAAAGAAGCCAAGGCAAAGGACUGGCAUUAAUAAUGAGCAUCAUUACCGGGUCGACUGUUUUUUUUUGCUGUUUUGGAUUUAUUGGUAG